GACGAACGCUGGCGGCGUGCUUAACACAUGCAAGUCGAACGGAAAGGCCUUUUCGGAGGUACUCGAGUGGCGAACGGGUGAGUAACACGUGGGUGAUCUGCCCUGCACUCUGGGAUAAGCCUGGGAAACUGGGUCUAAUACCGGAUAGGACCGCACUUUAGUGUAUGUGGUGGAAAGUUUUUUCGGUGUAGGAUGAGCCCGCGGCCUAUCAGCUUGUUGGUGGGGUAAUGGCCUACCAAGGCGGCGACGGGUAGCCGGACUGAGAGGUUGGUCGACCACAUUGGGACUGAGAUACGGCCCAGACUCCUACGGGAGGCAGCAGUGGGGAAUAUUGCACAAUGGGCGCAAGCCUGAUGCAGCGACGCCGCGUGGGGGAUGACGGCCUUCGGGUUGUAAACUCCUUUCGCCAGGGACGAAGCGUUUUGUGACGGUACCUGGAGAAGAAGCACCGGCUAACUACGUG
This 463-nucleotide ribosomal RNA is filed under the name uncultured bacterium. RNAcentral's name for it is "partial 16S ribosomal RNA". It matches the Rfam family "Bacterial small subunit ribosomal RNA", at positions 28 to 507 of the family's 1533-position model. The record is from RNAcentral.